RNAcentral lists this ribosomal RNA (468 nucleotides) under uncultured bacterium. RNAcentral's name for it is "partial 16S ribosomal RNA". It matches the Rfam family "Bacterial small subunit ribosomal RNA", at positions 28 to 507 of the family's 1533-position model. The record is from RNAcentral.
GACGAACGCUGGCGGCGUGCUUAACACAUGCAAGUCGAACGGACAGGCCCUGCUUUUGUGGGUUGCUCGAGUGGCGAACGGGUGAGUAACACGUGAGUAACCUGCCCUUGUCUUUGGGAUAACUUCAGGAAACUGGGGCUAAUACCGGAUAGGAGCUCCUGCAGCAUGGUGUGGGUUGGAAAGUUUCGGCGGUUGGGGAUGGACUCGCGGCUUAUCAGCUUGUUGGUGGGGUAGUGGCUUACCAAGGCUGUGACGGGUAGCCGGCCUGAGAGGGGGAACGGCCACAUUGGGACUGCGAUACGGCGCAGAAGCGUACGGGAGGCAGCAGUGGGGAAUAUUGCACAAUGGGGGGAAGCCUGAUGCAGCAACGCCGCGUGCGUGAUGCCGGCCUACGGGUGGUAAACAGCUGUCGCAGGUGACGAAGAGUGAGUGACGGUAAUGGGUAAAGAAGCACCGGCUAACUACGUG